Molecule: non-coding RNA, 491 nt
Organism: Lonchura striata (white-rumped munia)
Lineage: Eukaryota; Metazoa; Chordata; Aves; Passeriformes; Estrildidae
Source: RefSeq, a predicted model, not a curated record
AUUUCGUUUUUUGGGGCGAAAAAAACCGGACUCAAAGACCCCAAAAAUUUCGUUUUUUGGGGCGAAAAAAAUGGACUUUGGAGACCCAAAAAUUUCGUUUUUUGAGGCGAAAAAAAUGGACUUUGGAGACCCAAAAAUUUGGUUUUUCGGGACGAAAAGCGACCUGGACCCCGAAAUCCCGUUUUGGGGCCACGCCCAGGGGCUUCAAGAGGAAGAUUGCCGUGCUCUCAGCCAGGGCCGGGCUGGAGCCGGAAGGGGGCGGGGCCUCGGGGGGGCCCCGGCGGCGCCGCUGGGGGGCGACGGCGCCCAAGAGACCCAGCAUCAGCAUCAGCACCGACAGCCUCAAGGUAAUUAGCUAAUUACGCUAAUUAGCUUAAUUAGCAGCCCGCGCAUUCCAAUCCCGGCGCCGCUGCCAAAAAUCCCCGUUUUUACGCCGCUUUCCUGGCCCGAAAAACGCCUUUUUUAGCCCAAAAUUCCCAAUUUUUUACUUU